This 266-nucleotide ribosomal RNA is filed under the name uncultured bacterium. RNAcentral's name for it is "partial small subunit ribosomal RNA". It matches the Rfam family "Bacterial small subunit ribosomal RNA", at positions 26 to 285 of the family's 1533-position model. The record is from RNAcentral.
AGAGCGAACGCUGGCGGCGUGCUUAACACAUGCAAGUCGAGUGCGCAGUUUUCUGUAGCAAUACAGGAAACCGGCGCACGGCGCACGGGUGCGUAACACGUGGAUAACCUGCCCUCCAAAGGGAUAACCCGCGAAAGCGAGGCUAAUACCGCAUGACAUUCCGAGAACCUCGGUUUUUGGAAUCAAAGCCCGCAAGGGCGUUGGGGAGGGUCCGCGGCCGAUUAGCUUGUUGGCGAGGUAAUGGCUCACCAAGGCAAUGAUCGGUA